Long non-coding RNA from Sceloporus undulatus (fence lizard), 382 nucleotides. RefSeq lists it as uncharacterized. The record is from RefSeq and is a predicted model, not a curated record. The transcript is spliced from 3 exons. Lineage: Eukaryota; Metazoa; Chordata; Lepidosauria; Squamata; Phrynosomatidae.
GAGUGACAAGUUCUAAAUUAGAUUCUAGGUUUCACUGUCAUGCUGAAAUCAAAAAGAGGACUCAGCUAAUGUGGUGCUCUUGUGGAAAUAAACCUUCAAAUAAUUCCAUUUGCUGUGUCAUAUAUAGUCAGCCAAGACACUAAGGGAAAGGUUCUUGUUGGUUAAUCCCAGUCUUUAAUUUAUGGUUUCCAUGAUCACUGUCAAAGUGCAGAUAAUCUCCCUGUUUCCUUGAAUCUCUGUAAAUCCCUUUUGCUGACAUGCAGUGACAUUAUAUAUUACUAUGCCUAUAUCUAGAGGACAUUGGCAUGCACGCAGGGGGAAUAGGGAUUAUUAUUUUUCUAGUAAGAGGGAUGCAGUGUGCAUGCAUGGUUUAACAAUGGCC